Molecule: long non-coding RNA, 2350 nt
Organism: Cercocebus atys (sooty mangabey)
Lineage: Eukaryota; Metazoa; Chordata; Mammalia; Primates; Cercopithecidae
Exons: 5
Source: RefSeq, a predicted model, not a curated record
UUCAGUAUUCAAUUAGGAAAGCAGAAACAUUCCACAUAAAUAUAAUACUGAACACUAAUUACACAGGUAAGGGAAGAACUGAGAAGCCAAACAGGAAAUGCUGAGACACUAGAGAUUAACAAGAGCAGGAAGUCACCAGUGCCCCCAGGGCUAGAAGGGCAGCAGGAGGAAGUGGCAUUCCCAAACCCCAGAUUCUGGGUCAUCCCAUGGAGGCCAUACCAUGGAGGGUGCUGCCGUGCGGUGCAGACUGCAUACCAAGCAAGAGCUGGAGUUUGAAAGGAGAUUGCUGCUGUCCAGGAGAAGGAGAAGGAGAAUUGUCCUGUCCUCGUCUUUCCUUCCAUCAUCUCAUCUCACAUCAGUGCCUCCCAUUGGUUGAAUCCAGCAAGAAAGCAGCUGAAGAAGUUGUGUUCUGCUAAAGUCAAGAAGAAAAUUAAGAAACAGGAAAACAUUAGAUGUAGCAGAAGUGGGAGGCAAAGUAAAUUCGUAGGAAGAUGCAAAAGAGGUAUCAAGACCACAGCAAGCCUAGAUCAACCAGACCAAGUCCGAAGGCCUAGAUCAACCAUCAGGAGCACUGAUGAUGUAUAGAAGCAUGCCAUGUUUUCACUUAAAGCAUCAGCAGAAGGCAAGAAAGGAAGAAUAAUUUGUAUUGAUUGAUUGAUUAUUUGGGUCAAUGCCGCUUGACAGAUUCUGAAGAACAAGAGGUAUAGAAGAAUGCCAUAUUUCACUUAAAGCUUCAGCAGAAGGCAAAAAAGAAAAAAAUUACUUUGUACUGAUUGAUUUAUUAUUUGAGUCAAUGCCUCUUGACAGAUUCUGGAGAAGAGGAUUCUAAUAAUAGCCAAGAUUACCUGCUUUCUGGUGCUGAGACCUGUUUGCCAGUCCAAUAAAGUGAAGAACACUGACGGAUUUCGUUAGGAGUUGGUGAGAGAAGAACAUUGAGAAGAGAGUUGUCCUAGGAAAAGUUAUCUCAGAAGCAAAGUUCAAGGCAAGAAUAUGAGUAGCAGUGGUUUAUUUGUAAGGUGACUUCAGUAAUCAUUGGUAGGGAAGUGGGCAGGUGAGGCAGAAGGAAAGGAUGUGAUGAACAGGCUGCAGGUGAGGGUAAUAGAAUUCAAUUCUGUUGGAGAAGUGCACCUGAUGGGUACAGAAGCUGAUGUAUUUAUCCUCAAAGAUCUAUUUUUCAUGGGCUGAGAAUACUUCCUGGAGAUGUUAGUUCCCCAGUGUUUCCAUUCCAUCCCGUGCACAGAUUGAGGAAAGACUCUUGGCCUGAGAGCCGCAGAUGCUUGCAGUAGGACACUUUCUGCCCGUGAGGUAAGAGUGAGUCAUAAAGGCUUGUACAGAGAGCACUAACACUGUGGUGGCUAUUGUGAUGUUUCAACUUGCCUUUUUAUACAAUCAAACACAAAUACAGGUGUUGCUGUGAAGGAAUUCUGUAGUUGUAAUAAAGAUCCUAAUGCAUUGUCUUUAAGCAAGAGGGAUUAUUCUGGAUAAUGUGAGUGGACCUAAGUGAAUGAGUUGCAAAGCCUUAAAUGCAGGGUUGAUAUUUCUGAGAGAGAGGAGAGAGACUGAAAGAGAAAGAAAAAGAAGAAAUUUCUCUUGAGGACAAUUUCAACCUGUUCUCAGGGAGUUCCAUCCUGUUUGUGAUCUUUCUUUCUUGUGGAUGAUAACUUCAACCAUAGCCAUAGGUUCAAGACUAUGCCUUCCUGAAUGUCUGCUCUAUGGAUUUAGGACUUUAUUCCAGUUCCCGCAACCAUGCCAUCUAUCUAUCUAUCUAUCCAUCCAUCCAUCCAUCCAUCCGUCAAGAGAGAUAUAAUUUUAAUACCUGUAAAACCUUAAAUUUCCUGCAACUCCAGUUGAACUCCGAUUGGUGUAGAUAAUUUUGGUGUUUGGAAGUAGGUGCUACCAUAACAAACACAUAAAAAUAUGGAGGCGGCUUUAAAACCAAGUGGAUGGAGGCUGGAAGAAGGCUGAAAAAAAUUUUGAAAGAUAUGAUGAUAGAGAAUGCCUAAAUUGUCUUCAACUGAUUGUGAGUCAAAAUAUGAAUUUUAUGAGUCUUUCUGGUAAGGGCUCAGAAUACAGUGAGGGGCAUGUUAUUGGAAACAGGAGAAAUAGAGAUGCUUGUUAGGUAAUGGCAGAAAAUUUAGUGAAAUUGGCUCCUGUGAGAAUAGUGGAAAAUAGAGUUUCCUCUGGGUGGUAGCAGAAGCAAUUCAAGGCACUAGAAAGAUCUGAUGCACUAUUGCUGAUUCAAAGAUGGAGAGGCCCAUAUGCAAGAAACAGAGAGUAGCUUUGUAUUAGUUUUCUAGGGCUGCCAUAAAAAAAUGACAGACUGGCCAGGCACGGUGACUCACACCUAUAA